GACGAACGCUGGCGGCGUGCCUAAUACAUGCAAGUCGAACGAGCUCUCCCAAAAUUGAUUUUAUGCUUGCAUAAAUGAUUUUUUGGAUUCGGAGCGAGUGGCGAACUGGUGAGUAACACGUGGGUAACCUGCCCUUAAGUGGGGGAUAACAUUUGGAAACAAAUGCUAAUACCGCAUAUGAAUUAAAACCGCAUGGUUUUAAUUUGAAAGAUGGCUCUGCUAUCACUUUUGGAUGGACCCGCGCCGUAUUAGCUAGUUGGUGAGAUAAAAGCUCACAAAGGCGAUGAUACGUAGCCGACCUGAGAGGGUAAUCGGCCACAUUGGGACUGAGACACGGCCCAGACUCCUACGGGAGGCAGCAGUAGGGAAUCUUCCACAAUGGACGAAAGUCUGAUGGAGCAACGCCGCGUGAGUGAUGAAGGGUUUCGGCUCGUAAAACUCUGUUGUUAAAGAAGAACAAGUGUAAGAGUAACUGUUUACGCUUUGACGGUAUUUAACCAGAAAGCCACGGCUAACUACGUGCCAGCAGCCGCCGUAA
This 538-nucleotide ribosomal RNA is filed under the name uncultured bacterium. RNAcentral describes it as "partial 16S ribosomal RNA". It matches the Rfam family "Bacterial small subunit ribosomal RNA", at positions 28 to 523 of the family's 1533-position model. The record is from RNAcentral.